UACGAGGGGGGCGAGCGUUGUUCGGAAUUAUUGGGCGUAAAGGGUGCGUAGGCGGUUUGGUAAGUCUUUUGUGAAAUCUCUGGGCUCAACUCAGAGUCUGCAAGGGAAACUGCCGGGCUGGAGUGUGGGAGAGGUGAGUGGAAUUUCCGGUGUAGCGGUGAAAUGCGUAGAUAUCGGAAGGAACACCUGUGGCGAAAGCGGCUCACUGGACCACAACUGACGCUGAUGCACGAAGGCUAGGGGAGCAAACAGG
Molecule: ribosomal RNA, 253 nt
Filed under: uncultured bacterium
Lineage: Bacteria
Description: partial 16S ribosomal RNA
Rfam family: Bacterial small subunit ribosomal RNA
Source: RNAcentral